Molecule: ribosomal RNA, 1426 nt
Filed under: Salmonella enterica subsp. enterica serovar Enteritidis
Lineage: Bacteria; Pseudomonadati; Pseudomonadota; Gammaproteobacteria; Enterobacterales; Enterobacteriaceae
Description: partial 23S ribosomal RNA
Rfam family: Bacterial large subunit ribosomal RNA
Source: RNAcentral
AGGUAAAUCCGGUUCACUUUAACACUGAGGCGUGACGACGAGGCACUACGGUGCUGAAGCAACAAAUGCCCUGCUUCCAGGAAAAGCCUCUAAGCAUCAGGUAACAUCAAAUCGUACCCCAAACCGACACAGGUGGUCAGGUAGAGAAUACCAAGGCGCUUGAGAGAACUCGGGUGAAGGAACUAGGCAAAAUGGUGCCGUAACUUCGGGAGAAGGCACGCUGACACGUAGGUGAAGUGAUUUACUCAUGGAGCUGAAGUCAGUCGAAGAUACCAGCUGGCUGCAACUGUUUAUUAAAAACACAGCACUGUGCAAACACGAAAGUGGACGUAUACGGUGUGACGCCUGCCCGGUGCCGGAAGGUUAAUUGAUGGGGUCAGCGCAAGCGAAGCUCCUGAUCGAAGCCCCGGUAAACGGCGGCCGUAACUAUAACGGUCCUAAGGUAGCGAAAUUCCUUGUCGGGUAAGUUCCGACCUGCACGAAUGGCGUAAUGAUGGCCAGGCUGUCUCCACCCGAGACUCAGUGAAAUUGAACUCGCUGUGAAGAUGCAGUGUACCCGCGGCAAGACGGAAAGACCCCGUGAACCUUUACUAUAGCUUGACACUGAACAUUGAGCCUUGAUGUGUAGGAUAGGUGGGAGGCUUUGAAGUGUGGACGCCAGUCUGCAUGGAGCCGACCUUGAAAUACCACCCUUUAAUGUUUGAUGUUCUAACGUGGACCCGUUACCCGGGUUGCGGACAGUGUCUGGUGGGUAGUUUGACUGGGGCGGUCUCCUCCUAAAGAGUAACGGAGGAGCACGAAGGUUGGCUAAUCCUGGUCGGACAUCAGGAGGUUAGUGCAAUGGCAUAAGCCAGCUUGACUGCGAGCGUGACGGCGCGAGCAGGUGCGAAAGCAGGUCAUAGUGAUCCGGUGGUUCUGAAUGGAAGGGCCAUCGCUCAACGGAUAAAAGGUACUCCGGGGAUAACAGGCUGAUACCGCCCAAGAGUUCAUAUCGACGGCGGUGUUUGGCACCUCGAUGUCGGCUCAUCACAUCCUGGGGCUGAAGUAGGUCCCAAGGGUAUGGCUGUUCGCCAUUUAAAGUGGUACGCGAGCUGGGUUUAGAACGUCGUGAGACAGUUCGGUCCCUAUCUGCCGUGGGCGCUGGAGAACUGAGGGGGGCUGCUCCUAGUACGAGAGGACCGGAGUGGACGCAUCACUGGUGUUCGGGUUGUCAUGCCAAUGGCACUGCCCGGUAGCUAAAUGCGGAAGAGAUAAGUGCUGAAAGCAUCUAAGCACGAAACUUGCCCCGAGAUGAGUUCUCCCUGAGACUUAGAGUCUCCUGAAGGAACGUUGAAGACGACGACGUUGAUAGGCCGGGUGUGUAAGCGCAGCGAUGCGUUGAGCUAACCGGUACUAAUGAACCGUGAGGCUUAACCUUACAACGCCG